GUGGGGAAUAUUGGACAAUGGGCGAAAGCCUGAUCCAGCCAUGCCGCGUGUGUGAAGAAGGUCUUCGGAUUGUAAAGCACUUUAAGUUGGGAGGAAGGGCAGUAAGUUAAUACCUUGCUGUUUUGACGUUACCGACAGAAUAAGCACCGGCUAACUUCGUGCCAGCAGCCGCGGUAAUACGAAGGGUGCAAGCGUUAAUCGGAAUUACUGGGCGUAAAGCGCGCGUAGGUGGUUUUGUAAGUUGGAGGUGAAAUACCCGGGCUCAACCUGGGAACUGACUCCAAAAAUGCAUGACUAGAGUACGGUAGAGGGUAGUUGAAUUUCCUGUGUAGCGGUGAAAUGCGUAGAUAUAGGAAGGAACACCAGUGGCGAAGGCGACUACCUGGACUGAUACUGACACUGAGGUGCGAAAGCGUGGGGAGCAAACAGGAUUAGAAACCCGAGUAGUCC
This 450-nucleotide ribosomal RNA is filed under the name uncultured bacterium. Its description in RNAcentral is "partial 16S ribosomal RNA". It matches the Rfam family "Bacterial small subunit ribosomal RNA", at positions 354 to 796 of the family's 1533-position model. The record is from RNAcentral.